This 253-nucleotide ribosomal RNA is filed under the name uncultured bacterium. RNAcentral describes it as "partial 16S ribosomal RNA". It matches the Rfam family "Bacterial small subunit ribosomal RNA", at positions 524 to 776 of the family's 1533-position model. The record is from RNAcentral.
GACGAGGGGUGCUAACGUUAUUCGGAAUCAUUGGGCGUAAAGGGUGUGUAGACGGUAUGUUAUGUCUGUUGUUAAAUACUCCGGCUUACCUGGAGAGGUGCGAUGGAAACUGAUAUACUAGAGGAUGGAAGAGAGGAGUGGAAUUCCCGGAGUAGCGGUAAAAUGCGUAGACCUCGGGAGGAACACCAAUGGCGAAGGCAGCUCCUUGGUCCAUAGCUGACGUUGAGACACGAAGGCGUGGGGGGCAAACAGG